RNAcentral lists this ribosomal RNA (429 nucleotides) under Acidobacteriota bacterium. RNAcentral's name for it is "Acidobacteria bacterium partial 16S ribosomal RNA". It matches the Rfam family "Bacterial small subunit ribosomal RNA", at positions 355 to 776 of the family's 1533-position model. Lineage: Bacteria; Pseudomonadati; Acidobacteriota. The record is from RNAcentral.
UGGGGAAUUUUGGACAAUGGGGGAAACCCUGAUCCAGCCAUCCCGCGUGUGCGAUGAAGGCCUUCGGGUUGUAAAGCACUUUUGGCAGGAAAGAAACGUCAUGGGUUAAUACCCCGUGAAACUGACGGUACCUGCAGAAUAAGCACCGGCUAACUACGUGCCAGCAGCCGCGGUAAUACGUAGGGUGCAAGCGCUAAUCGGAAUUACUGGGCGUAAAGCGUGCGCAGGCGGUUCGGAAAGAAAGAUGUGAAAUCCCAGAGCUCAACUUUGGAACUGCAUUUUUAACUACCGGGCUAGAGUGUGUCAGAGGGAGGUGGAAUUCCGCGUGUAGCAGUGAAAUGCGUAGAUAUGCGGAGGAACACCGAUGGCGAAGGCAGCCUCCUGGGAUAACACUGACGCUCAUGCACGAAAGCGUGGGGAGCAAACAGG